AGCCACCGCGGCGACUUGGCGGCGGGUGCCAUGCGUCUGGAGCUUCACAUUCUCUGCCCCCCACCCACCGCGCCGGCGCUCCCUUGUCACGCCUCGGGAAGCGCGCACCUGCCAAGCAGGAUGAAUAAUCUGAUAUCAUGUGAAAUGAGGAAAUAAGAAGCUUUCUGCUGACUUCAUUUUGACCCAGGGUCCAAAAGGUGAUGUAAUCCUGUGGCAAGAAGAUUCAAAACUGUGGACUAUCUUGCAAAAAAUACAAGAAGAUAUUGAAAGUUUUCAUGAGUGCCUACCACCUAAUCUCAAACACUAUCAUUCAUAUGUGCCUCAUUGAGCAAAUCUUUAAUGAGGAUCUAUAUGCCAGCAAUAUCUUUUGCUUGGGAGCAGAAACAGAAAGUACAUGAUGGACUUCAUUGAAGGAUGGAGAUUUGGAAGACAUGAAUGGAUGAAGAACCAAGUGCGUGAGGGCACCUAUCAGGAUUAUUGCUGAAAUCCUUAUGGAGUUAACUGGCUGAGAGGAAGGCAAGCAAGCGAGGACUGAUGGGCCCUUGGCACUGUGAGAACAGUGGAGGAGGAGGGAGCAGGGUUCAUAAGGAGGAGCACAAACAGAAAGUUCAGUGGCCCCAAUAAAAAUAACACCAGAAUCUUCCAGAUACUUUCUCCAUAAGGCGAAAAGGUAAAUGCCCCUUUAAAUCAUUAACUAAACUGGCACUUAGAUCUGGGCAGGCUCUCCCAGAUUGGGCUGUUCCGUUUUGCCAGGAAUUGAUAAACUUCUGUGACCCCUCCAGGGUGAGUGAGCAUGAUCCAUCUUCCCUGUCUGGACAAGUUUGAUCCAGCCUCCUUCCUCCUGCUGAAGCAGGCCUGAGGUGUGUGCCAGGAUUCCAUGUCUUAUGCUAAUACUCACAUUCCACAUACCGGCUCUUGCUGGUACUGCCUUUAGGCUUUUAGAAGGCCGUGCUUUUACCCUCCCUGGCUGCACCCCUUACUACAGGGUGAGGAGACUGUGGCACCUAGGGGAUGUGUCCACUCAGAACCACAUUACCACAUUGCUCCCUUCUAGACCACACUCUGGAUAACUUGGACCACCUCAGGAUUCCUUGCUCAAAUGCCCCAAGCCCACUUCCAGGGCCUGCCUAGACUUCUUUUCCAGACCCAUCCUCCCAAGGGCAAACCAUGCCACUAGUGUGUGUGGUCAGCCUGAGAGGUAGCCAAGGAUAGCCUAUUUGCAGAGGCAUGCACAGGGUAUGGAUGCGUGAACUGGGGCAUCUACAUGCAUGCAUGAGAGGGCCUUCUCAUUCAGAGUCAAGGAUGGGAGGAGAGGGGAACGUUUCAGGUUGGGGUCCAGCUCUCUCCAUGCCUCUUUGUCCUGGUGCAGAACUCUAAGGAUUCCAAGCAUUGCACAUUCAAACCUGACCUUCAGGUCUUUUGGAAGUUAGAGUUAUCAAGGUAGGAAAAUGGAACAUAUUUUAUUUAACAGUUUGACUUGACUUAUAACUUUCUUUUUUUUUUUUUUUUUUUUUUAGACGGAGUCUCGCUCUGUUGCCCAGGCUGUAGUUCAGUGGUGCAAUCUCAGCUCACUGCAAGCUCUGCCUCCCGGGUUCAUGCCAUUCUUCUGCCUCAGCCUCCCGAGUAGCUGGGACUACAAGCGCCUGCUACCACGCCUGGCUAAUUUUUUGUAUUUUUUAGUAGAGACGGAGUUUCACCAUGUUAGCCAGGAUGGUCUCGAUCUCCUGACCUUGUGAUCCACCCAUCUCGGCCUCCCAAAGUGCUAGGAUUACAGGCAUGAGCCACCACGCCCAGCCAACUUAUAACUUUUAUAUCAUUAGACACAUGGAAUAUGGGCCUCCGUUUGUACUCUUGCCCUUGGCCCCACAAACGUUAGGGAGAGGCCUGGCUCCUGCAAUGUACUAUUUACCUGUUGUAAAGAAUAGCCCUUCAAAAGUAUUAUUCUAAGUCUGUUUGACAUAAUAGGUCCAAAUUGUAUUACAACAUGGUAAAAAAACAACAAUCCAUUAACAAUCCUCUUUGGAUUUCUAAAAAAGUUUUGGUAGCCUAAACUCUUUCCCCAAUUUUUGAUAUCACUUCAUGUCAUUUUAGAGAGUAAGUUUUCCUGUUUUAUUAAUGUUUAUAUUUAAGCUGAAUUUUCUAAAAGAAUUGUGAGUGUUUUUAUUCUAUUGUGACAUUCAAGGUACGCAGCUGACCCUUGAGUAUAAGUCCCAUCAACUAAGUAAACAUCAAACAUAUCUUCAGUACAUCCCUUUAGAUCUUGACAGUUAUUUAUCACUUUUUCAUAAGUUCCAAAGUUCCAGAUGGUUACUGAUACAUUCAGGCUGACCACUGCUAGAUUUGAGACUUGUCCCACAGAUCUGCACUGUAUCUUCAUACCUUCAUUAAUAGAUCUUUUAUUCUUUUUUUUUUUAAUUUUUUUGGAGACGUGGGUCUCAUUAUGUUGCCCAGGCUGGUCUUGAACUUCUGGCCUCAAGUGAUCCUCCCAACUCAGCCUCCCAAAGUAUUGGAAUUAUAGGUGUGAGCCACUACACCCAGCCUAGAUCUCAAUCAGGUGACACUGAAAAUGUUUGGUCAUAAACCACAGUGAAGGAAGGGGAGGCAGCUGUUAGAUCAUCUGCCUUGACCCACAGUCCUCAUCCAUUUGCACCUUGGCAAGCCCUCUACUACAUCUGAAUCUCGAAAUGGGGGAUAACCUCUUGGGAGAGUCUAUGCUAGUACCCUUCUAGUAGUAGUUUACAAUCUGCCAACAAAUCUUGAAGCCUUAUUUGGUUGAUAUCAAUUUGAGAGGUGGGAGGUUCAGUUUCCAAAGAGUCAGGAAAGAGCAUUCAUCUAGGCUUGAGAAGCCUCCAUUUCCUAACUCAAGAGUUCUGAUUAGGUUGUUGGUUGAGUGACACAAGGCAAUCAUCUCACUUUUCUGUUCCUGAGCUUCUCCUUUUAUAGAAUGUGGGCAGGAGUGUGGAGAGGGAGAAUUUAUUUCAUUUCCUGUUUUCCAAACUUACUAAACUGUGGAAACUUUUUCUUUUGCAGCAUUGGGCAAAACUGAUGUUCUAAGGAACAUUCUUUAGGAAAGGUUAGCCAGAUCCGUGGUUCUCAACAGGCAUGUGGUACACAUUUAAUAAUGUCUGGAGACGUUUUUGGUUGUCACAACUGGGGAUCCAGGGAUGCUGCUAAACAUCCUGCAAUGCCUAGGACAGCCCUCCACAACGGAGAAUUAUCCAACUCAAAAUGCCAAUCAUUCUAAGGGGUUGAAAAACUCUGGACUAUAUGAACUAUCUCAAUUCUCUUUCAACACUAACAUUUAAAUGUGGUGUUUCUUGUUUUUUAAACACACAAAAUUUUAUUUCUGUUUUACACAAAGUCAGCUAUGGGUAUGGAUGAAUCUGCGGACAGUUUUCUUCCAUGUGUUGGCUCCAUAUUUCAGCUGCUUUGAUCUUUUUGACAUCUUAUCAAUGUGUUCUUCUAUGAUUUCCUUGGCAGAGAAAGAGAAAGCAGAGAGAAUCAUGUGCUGGAUCUUAAAUGCUUCUACGUGGAUGUAGUAAAUGUCUCUUCUACUUUUUUUAAAUAAGAAGUGUAUUAAAAUAUAAUCCAUGUAUCAUAUAAUUUACUCAUUUAAGGCAUAAAAUUCGGCUGGGUAUGGUGGCUCACACCUGUAAUCCCAGCACUUUGGGAGGUUGAGGUGGGGUGAAUCUCUUGAGCCCAGGAGUUUGAGACCAGACUGGGCAACAUGGCAAAACCCCAUCUCUACAAAAAAUACAAAAAUUAGCCAGGUGUGGUGGCACGCACCUGUAAUCCCAGCUAUUUGGGAGGUUGAGGUGGGAGUAUUGCUUGAGUUUUGAAGGCAGAGGUUGCAGUGAGCCAAGAUUGUGCCACUGCACUCCAGCCAGGGUGACAGAGUGAGACUGUCUCAAAAAAAAUUUUUCAGCUAAAAUAAAGUGUAAAACUCUGUAGUUUUUAGUGUAUCCACAAAAUGUGUGCAAUCGUCUCUACACUCAAUUUUAGAACAUUUGAAUCACCCCCAGAAGAAACACUGUACCUAUUAACAGCCAUUCCCAAUUUUCCCUCAACACCUCCACCUCAGCCCUAGGCAACCACUAACCUAUUUUCUAUCUCUAUAGGUUUACCUAUACUGGAUAUUACAUAUAAAUGGAAUCAUGUCCUUUGUAACUGUCUUCUUUCACUUUGCAUAAUGUUUUCAAGGUUCAUUCAUGUUGCAUCCUUCUCAAUAUUUCAUUUUUAUUGCUGAAUAAUAUUCCAUUGUAUGAAUAUAACACAUUUUAUUUAUCCAUUCAUCGCUUGAUGGAUAUAUGAGCCAUUUCUACUUUUUAGAUAUUCUGAAUAAUGCUGCUAUGAAUACUUAUAUGCAAGUUUUUACAUGGACGUAUGUCUUCAUUUCUCUUAGGUUAUAUAUCUAAGAAAGGAAUUACUGAAUCAUACGAUAACUUUAUGCUUAGACUUUUGAGAAACUGCCAGACUGCUCUCCAAAAUGACUGUGCCAUUUUACAUUCCCAAAAGUAAUGUAUGAAGUUUCUAAUUUUUCCACACCCUCACCAACACUUAUUAUCUGUGUUUUUGAUUCUUGCCAUCCUAGUGUGUGUGAAGUAGUUUCUCACUGUGAUUUGUAUUUGAAUCUUCUUGAAGGCUAAUGAUUUUGAGCAUCUUUUCAUGUGCUUAUCGUCUCUUCUUUAUAUAGAUGUCUAUUCAGGUCCUUGGCCCAUUUUUAAUUUGGGCUAUUUGUCUUUUCAUUACUGAGUUUUAAGAAUAAUUUUUGUUUAUUCUAGACACACAUCCCAUAUUAGAUAGGUGAUUUGCAACUAUUUCCUCCCAUUCUGUAGGUUUCUUGCUGGUGUCCUUUUAGGAAUAGAAGUUUUACGUUUUGAUGAAGUCAAGUGUGUAUGUUUUCUUUUGUUGCUUGUGUGUUUGAUCUCAUAUCAAAAAACCAUUGCACAAUCCAAGGCCACAAAGAGUUAUGUCUAUGUUUUCUAGAUUUUUAUCAUUUUAGUGCUUACAUUUAGGUCUUUGAUCUUUUUGUGUUAAUUUUUUAUAUUGGGUGUGAGGUAAAAAUCCAACUUCAUUCUUUUGCAUGUGAUAUCCAAUUAUCCAGAACCACUUGUUGAGAAGGCUAGUUCUUCCUCACUGGAUUAUCUUGGCACCCUUGUCAAAAAUAAGUUGACUGUAGAUGUGAAGGUGUAUGAGUUGCUAAAAUACCUCUUCUGUGAUAUUUAUAAUUUAUUUUCUAAAAGGAUAAGUUAUAGGUCACAUCUCAGAUUACAAUGAUUCAAGUCAAAAAGUUCAAAGUAGAAUUUACUUUCAAAAUUGUUUGUUCCCCCAGAGCUAGUUAAUGCCCCCAGAGCUAGUUAAUAAACUCUAUUUGCAGAUAAAAGCAUGCUUUCCCUUCAAAGGUAUUUCACCAAGACGGGAAACACAAAACUAAAUAAGCUGGGAAACUGAGGAUACACAGAGGGUCUCCUUAAUCUCUGGAUAUGUGGUCUAAUGUAUCCUUUUUGUGCUCAUUUUUUCCCUUUUAUCCAGAAAUACAACAUUACCUUUUUAUAAAAUUCCUGGAGAUUGAUCAUAUCUCUAGUGUUUGGGUCUAGAAUGUAUUUUUUGGCCAAAACAUCUCUUUACCCCACUUCCACAUGUGGAAAGAAAGAAAACAUGGUACUCUAAUCUCACAAGUGAGGCAUGGGGUUGUUUCCUGAAAUGAGGCAAGGACUUUGGACAAGAACAUGUUUGGACUUGAGAUGGUUUUUGUAAACCCAAAUGAUAUUAGUUCUAGUCUGUCUUUAUCGCUCACUGUAUUUUGUUUUCAUUCAUACUAAUGAAUAAUAGACUUGAUUGUGUUCCAUCAUUUAUGUCAUUAAUAUUUCCUUUAUGUUUGAGUGCUGUGCAGUUCUCCUUGAAACUUGUAUGGAGAUUGAACUUGAUAGUGAUUUAAAGUAAUUAAUUCAUAUGUCAGUUGUUAGCAAGGUCUAGUAAUUAAAAUCUACUUUAGAGUAAGUUAUUAACUCUCCAAAAUAAAAACACUUUAUCAACUUACCAGUUUUAGCUAUUUAUUCUACUUGACAGAUGAGAUAGGGUAGUUAUUGACUGUACAUAAUCACCUAUGUACUUUCACCACUGAACACUAGGGUCAAAUUGAAGUCUAGGUUAUUAAAGUUCAUAGUUUAAAUCUAGAAUAAACCAGUUCAGGUUGAUGGGAGAAGGAAGAGAGUGUCCUUGGAUCUUGUUAUCUUUGCAAUAUUGUCUCCUUAAAUUUUGCAAAGUCCAUUUUUGCUGUCUUCAAAAUUCUCAAACUUCUAAACUAAAAACACCCUAGACCAAGGAUUUCAUAUUGAGAUCUAAGAUAUCAAAGUGCUAUAUUGUUUAUGAUUUAUUUUAUAAUGCUUUUUAGUAAAACAAACUUUAGAUGCCAUGAUUUCCUUGUGAACAGGCUGGAGGGAAGAAAACAAGUUACACGUAAUGCAUGGGACACAAGUGCAGGCCUUUUAUUUGCAGGCCUAAACUAGUCACAAGUUUCCAUCUUAUGAAAGCAAGUUUUCUUUUAUUCUGCUUUGUUUUUUGUCUUGAUAUCUGGUUACAUUUAUUCAGUUUGAGGGCAUCUUAUAACGGGCCCUUUACUUCCCUCCAUUUGGCUUGUGAUGAACUACUACCAAGGUCAAUCCAGGUCUGACUCUUUCAUGGAGUCAGUGUGGCUGGGGUAGUGUUUCCCAAGCCAAGCUUGUCAUCAGAAUUACCUGGGGUGGUUUGUAAAGAACUUUUCAGGCCUCAUUCCAAACCUACUAAAUUUAGAUCUCUGGUGUGGAGCCUGUAAAUCUGUAUGUUUGAAACCUUCCCAAGGUGAUUCUGAUGUCCAGUCAUAUUUGGGUCAUAGUCCAGAAUGCAGUCAUGCAUUGCUUAAUGACAGGGAUUUGUUCUGAAAAAUGUGUCAUUAGGUAAUUUCUUCAUUGUAGAACCAUCAUAGAGUGUGAUUACACAAACCUAGAUGGUAUAGCCUACUACACACCUAGGCUAUGUGGUAUAGCCUAUUGCUCCCAGGCUACAAACCUGUACAGUAUGUUGCUGUACUGAACACUGUAAGUAAUUGUAAUACAAUGGUAAGUAUGUGUGUAUCUAAAUAUAUCUUAACAUAGAAAAGGUGCAGUAAAAAUACAGUAUUCAAAUCUCAUGAAACCACCAUCAUAUAAGAGGUCCGUAGUUGAACUGAAAUGUUGUUGUGUUGCCCAUGAUUGUACUUGGAUUUCAGGACUCUGCAGAUGCUUGGAGGUCUUAUGGGUUUGGCCAUGGGGUAUUGCCUCUGAGAAACUGCCAUCUGCUUGCCAGAGAUUCUGAAAAGACCAGAGUUGCCUAUUUGCAGUCUGUUCUUCAAGACUAUCUACUAUGUUGGCAAAAAGGCCUAGGUUUCUUCUCUGUCCAUUCUCAAUCCCUCAAUCUGUCCUUGUGACUUACUUGCUCCUUCAAGCUGCCCAGUAGUGGCGCUGGUGAAAAUAAAAUAGACUUUGGUCCUACAGACCUGUCAUGGACUCUCAGCUCAGCCUCUUCUAUGUGUGCCAUUUGCCUCAUCUGUAAAUGUAGUUAAUAUUGUCCUCUCAAAGAUGUUAGGAAAACCAGAAGAAUGUAUUUAUGUAACACCUAGAACAAGUAUACCCUGCAUUAGGCAUUAUUUGUUUGGUUUUACCUGUCCAUCUCAAUGAACAUGCUGGGUUAAUGAAGUGUGUUCAUCAAUUUUCCCUGAUCGUAGCCUUUUAGAUUGCUCUGGGCAGUGUUUCUCAAAGUAGGAGACACAGACCACCUACCUGUGAUUGACAGGAGGACAGAAAUCUGCUCUAAUGCACUCUAACCUUCUGCACUUUUCACUUUUUAUUGAAAUAUACAUAUAGAAAGGUGUAUUUAUUGUAAGUGAACAGCUCAGUGGCUUUUCCUAAACUGAACACACCCAUGUAACCAGCACCCAGAUCAAGAAACAGAACAUUACCAGCACCCCCGAAGCCUCCUCUGCAGGCACACUUUAAGAACCACUGGUCUAGGAAGAGCCCAGCUGGGGCACUGUCCUAAACCACCGUCCCGCCUUUACCUAGCAGGCCAAAUCUGCAUGCAGUGUCAGCUAUUCCCAAUCUGAGAGGCUGGGCCUAUAGCCUCACAUACACCCUUCAUAGUGAUGCAACUUCAUUUGUAAAAAGGGUCACAAAGGGUGUUUCUAUAAUUUAUAUUCCUAGCAUACACCCUAAACUGCUUAAAGCAAAUGAAUUCAGGUCCCAGCCAAAAAGGAGUGGAGACCAGUCACUGCCUGAAAGCAUUGGCUUAUUACAACACUCCAGCAUUUUCUCACGGCAGGGUGAAUGAGGUGGAUUCUAGUGUAAUUACCUUUAUGUAAUUGAAAACUAAAUCACCGAUGGCUGCAGAGUUUAAAUAUCCAUUUAAAUACUUUCAAUUUAUUCAGCUUAUUUUUUCAGGACAUGCUACUACCAAAUAGGCUAUUAAUUUUUCUAAUGGAUUAAAAUCUGAAUAGGUACAUUAAAAACUAGCAUAGCUCAAAUAAAUGUCCUCUUUUUCCAAAGAUUAUUAAAGAGAGUUUUCUUUUUCUUUAACCCAGCUAUUCAAAUACUCUAUUAGACCAGGACCUGUAAUAAUACAGGCCUUGUCCAGAAGGGAUCAGGUUUCUAUGUUAUAUAAUUAGGCAAGACUUUAAAUAGUAAGACAUGCACCUGUGGUGCUUUUGUCUCUAACUCCACAAAUUUCAACAUGCAUACAAAUCAAGAAGGGGUGGGGGUGUUACAUGCAAAUUCUGCUUCAGUGGGUGUUGGAGCCUGAGAUUCUGGCUUUCUAACAAGCUCCCAGGUAAGUGCUGAUGCUGCUGCUUUGAGGGCCACACACCUUGAGGAGUAGGAAGAGUACUCAUACUGGAAGAGUAUUCAGCACGGACUGGAAUCCUGCAUACAUAUCUGAGCUCUGUGUUCUGGUAUGUAUAUAGACUUUUUAAAAAAAUUAGUAGAGAUGGGGUCUCACCAUUUUGGCCAGGCUGGUCUCAAACUCCAGGGCUCAAGAGAUCCUCCUGCCUUGGCCUCCCAAAGUGCUGAGAUUACAGGCAUGAGCCACUAUACCUGGCUUAUAUAGACUGCUUCUAAGGUCCAUUCUAACUGUACAAUUCCAUGAUUCAGUCACUGUUUGGCUAUUAACUAAUUUUUUUAGGCUUCUGAUUCUCAUUGUUUAUAAGCUGCUAUAUUAGAGAAUGUUCUGUACUGGAAGGCCAGAUAAAAAGUCUUACUUAUGGCCAGUAAGUUUUAUUUUUCAAUCUUCUACAAGUCUGCCUCAACCCAUGGGAAAUCUUGGCUAAUAGUAACAUGAUACUGGGCUUGGACCAUAAACUAAACUUGAGUCAGCAAUGUAGGGCUUUGGUUAGAUAAGCAAGAAUGAACUUGGGAAUAUAACCAAAAGAAAGGGACAGCUAAUCCUACCAGAACAGGCAGUAUUUAUAUGAAUACUUUUUUCAAAUAUCCACAACUGGGAAAAGCUGCUGAACACAUAAAGAAAAGUUAAAAGCACGGCAUUAUUUAGCUAGUGAAAAGAGAACAAAGAAUGCCUUAAGAAUAAUUUUUGAAUGGCAGCAGAAACCAGCAUAUCCUGUGAAGUAAAUGCAUUUUCAGGACCUCAAAAUAGAUUUAGGUUGCCUCUAAAGCAGAACUUUCCCAUGAUAAUGAUGAUCCUAGGUGGUAGGAUUGCCAAUGGUAAUUUUCUUUCCCAAAGAUUCUUACAACCAACCAUAAACCUACUAGAUAACCUAUCAGUUGUGUUAUUAACUGAUAUAUCAGUUGGGGUUCAGUGCAGACACUUCUCUAGGUACUGAAUGCUAAGAAUUAUAUGCUUAAAAAUUAUAUGCUCUUACCAUUAGAAGAGCUGGAAGAAGGCUGAGGGAGAUGCCUUCUUCCAGCCCUUCUAAUGGUAGGAGCAUUAAGAGGGAUGCUGUUGGGCUCGCAGUUCAGUCCACACAGCUACAAUCUAGAGGUCAGGAAGCUAUAAAGUCCACUGCUGGCAUCACAGUCAUUUCUCACAGAUGAAGUUAGUGGCAAUGCAGAGGCACAGAAAGUCUGGUCAUUAAAAACCACAUUUAAUGUUGCACGUACAUCAACAACUACCAGUGAAAACUAAUAGGCAGCCAGGCAUGUUGGUGCAUGCCUGAAGUCCCAAACAUUUGGGACACUGAGGUGGGAGGAUCCUUGAGCCCAGGAGGUCUAGGCUGCAGUGAGUUGUGAUUGUGCCACUGUACUCCAGCCUGGACAGAACAAGAAUCUUUCUCAAAAAAUAAAUAAAUAGAGAGAGAGAAGGAGGGAGGGAAGGAGGAAGGUAAAAAGAGAGAGAGAGAAAGGAAGGAAGGGAAAGAAGAGGAAGGAAGGAAGGAAGGAGAAGAGAAAGAAAAGGAAGGAAGGAAGGAAGGAGAAAGAGAAAGAAGGAAGGAGAAAGAAGAGAAAGAAAAGGGAGGAAGGAAGGAAGGAAGGAAAACUAAUAGGCAGGGGAAAUAGCCUCUCUCUUCCUUUUACCUUUCUAAUUUCGCAUCAUUAUAUCUGACUGGCACAGUUUAAAUUGUUUAACAAAUCCUAUUAGCAGCUCAGCCUAGAAUUAUAGUUAUUGAGCUUUGUUCCUAACUCAGUAUAAAUCUAUCUUUAUUGAAGUAUAGCAUACAGACAGAAAAAUGCACAAAUUAUAAUCAGAGAGCUUGAUGAAUUUUCAUAAAGUAAACACACCUACAUAUUGCUAGCACCCAGAUUGGGAGGCAGAAACUACUACCAUACCAGAAGCUCCCUUCAUUAUCUUUUCUAGGCAUUAUCCUCCCUCAAAUUGACUGUAAUCUUGGCUUCUAAUACCCUAGACCAAUUUGGCCUAUUUUUAAACAUUAGACAAAAUGGAAUGAUACAGUGUGUAUUAUUUUAUUACUGGCUUUUCCUACUCAACUAUUUGUGAGAUUCAUUCAUGUUGAGAGUAAUAAUAGUAUCUUCAUUUUCAUUGCUGUGUAGUAUUCCAUUGUAUGAAUAUAACACAAUUUAUACGUUCUACCAAAGAUGGACAUUUGGGUUGUUUCCAAUUUGAGAUUACUGCAACUAGUGCCACUGUGAACAUUGGUGAACACACACACACACACAUAUUUCAGUUGGAUAUAUAAAAGUGUAAUUUCUCUGAUGCAUGGGGUUCAGCUUGAGUAGUACUGCCCAACAGUUUUUCACAUCUUCAUCAAAACUUGAUCUUUUCCAUCUUUUAAAUUUUAGCCAUUCUCUUCAAAGACUAAUGCAGUGUAUUGAAUCUCAUUGUUGUUUUCAUUUUUCUGAUAUCAAAUAAACACCUUUUUAAUUGUUUAUUGGCCAUUUGGGUACCCUCUUCUGUGAAAUGCCUAUUCAUGUGUUUUGUGUGAUUUUCUAUGGGCUUGUCUGCCUUUUCUUGUUUUUAUAGUCCUUUAUUCUGGAUAUGAGUCCUUUGUCGGGUAUAUGUAUUGAUAAUAUCUUUUGCCACUAUGUGGCUUUUUGUUUUUUGUUUUUUUUUUUUGAGAUGGAGUCUUGCUCUGUCACCCAGGCUGGAGUGCAGUGGCGUGAUCUCGGCUCACUGCAAGCUCCUCCUCCCGGGUUCACGCCAUUCUCCUGCCUCAGCCUCCCAAGUAGCUGGGACUACAGGUGCCCGCCACCAUGCCCAGCUAAUUUUUUGUAUUUUUAGUAGAGACGGGGUUUCACCAUGUGAGCCAGGAUGGUCUCAAUCUCCUGACCUUGUGAUCUGCCUGCUUCGGCCUCCCAAAGUGCUGGGAUUACAGGCGUGAGCCACUGUGCCCAGCCCACUCUGUGGCUUAUUUUAUUCACUCUUUUAAUAGUGUAUUUUGAAGAAGACAUUCAUAAUUUUGAAUUAGUUUAGUUUAUCAGAUGUUUUCCUUUAUGGCUUAUUUAUUUUGUGUGUCUCCAGUUUAAGAAAUCUUUGUGGAUUCCAAAAUCGUGAGUAUUCUUCUGUUUUCUUGUGAAACUGUUAUUGUCCCACUUAGAUUUACAAUUGUGACUUUUAUGGAUGGUGAAAAGUGGGAAAUAUAGUUUUGAGCCUUCCAGUUUCUAUAAUUCUGUAGAGUAAAAAUGGAGUAUAUAGAGAAGGUAGUGAAAAUGUAUGCAAGAAACCAUAUCUAACACAGUUAACUUAGGUGACUGUUUACGCUGUAAAACAGUGAUAUGUUUAGGCUUUGUGUCCCCACUCAAAUUUCAUCUUGAAUUGUUUUUGUUUUUGUUUUUUGAGAUGGAGUCUCGCUCUGUCGCCAUGCUGGAGUGCAGUGGCACGAUCUCAGCUCACUGCAACCUCUGCUUCCAGGGUUCAAGCACUUCUCCUGCCUCAGCCUCCUGAGUACCUGGGACUACAGGCACACGCUGCCACGCCCGCUAAUUUUUGUUGUUGUUGUUUGUAUUUUAGUAGAGAUGGGGUUUCACCAUGUUGCCCAGGCUGGUCUCAAACUCCUGAGCUCAGGCCAUCUGCCCGCCUCGGCCUCCCAAAGUGCUAGGAUUACAGGUGAGUGCCCGGCCUCUUAUCUUGAAUUGUAAUUCCCGGGUGUUGAGGGAGAGACCUGGUGGGAGGUGAUUGGAUCAUGGGGGAGGUUCCCCCAUGCUGUUCUUAUGACAAUGAGUGAGUUCUCAUAGAUCUGAUGGUUUUAUAAGGAGCUCUUCCCACUUUGCUUCUCUCUCCCUCCCUCCUGCUGCCUUGUGAAGAAGGUGCCUGCUUCCCCUUCACCUUCCACCAUGAUUGUAAGUUUCCUGAGGCCUCCCCAGACAUGUGGAACUGUGAGUCAAUUAAAUCUCUUUUCUUUAUAAAUUACCCAGUCUCAGGUAGUAUCUUUAUAGCGGUAUAAAAACAGACUAAUACAAACAGGUAGCUCUAAAUUGUGAGUUUUUCUUAACUCCUUUGAUCUUCUGUGAUAGCGAUUUUUCACAUUUCACACUUCCCUAAUGCCAAAAAUCCACCUCCAGCAGCUGUUUUGCCUCUUUCUUAUCCUGCCCCUUGGAAGAAUGUCAUCAUUAUUGCUGCCACAGCACUGUGUUCUUUUUCAGAAGUUACAGCAAGAAUUGGUUGGCUUUCUUUCUUUUUUUUUUUUUUUCUCAGACAGAAUCUGGUUCUGUCGCCCAGGCUGAUGUGCAGUGGUGGGAUCUUGGCUCACUGCAACCUCUGCCUCCCGGGUUCAAGCAAUUCUCUCGCCUCAGUCUCUCGAGUAGCUGGGAUUACAGGCACAAGCCACCAUGCCCGGCUAAUUUUUGUAUUUUCAGUAGAGAUGGGGUUUCACCAUGUUGGCCAGGAUGGUCUCGAUCUCCUGACCUCGUGCUCCACUUGCCUUAGCCUCCCAAAGUGCUGAGAUUACAGGUGUGAGCCACCGCGUCUGGCCAGAUCUGCUUUCAAAUAAAUGAAAAGAAGACCAGGGUUAGAACUGGUGGGAAAAUGUGAAUAUUAGAAUUCUUUUAAAGAAAUAUAGUUUUACCACAUAAUCUAAGGUCGUGUGAUUAAGUACAAGGCAUUGUUCUAAAAGGCUUGAGGAAAAGUUGUUUCUCCUAAGAGGUUAAACAAGCUCAUAACCCUACCUCUCCUCACUUGCAGGCACAACCACUUCCUGUGUUUUUUUCAUGUGGAGCAACUGAUGUUUUCUCAAUCUUAUAUAAGAUGUUAUACAAGGCCGGGUGUAGUGGCUCAUGCCCGUAAUCCCAGCACUUUGGGAGGCCGAGGUGGGCAGAUCACCUGAGGUCAGGAGUUUGAGAUCAGCCUGGCCAACAUGGUGAAGCCCCAUCUCUACUAAAAUACAAAAAAAAAAAAAAAUUAGCUGGGCAUGGUGGAAAACACCUGUGAUCCCAGCUACUCAGGAAGCUGAACCUGGGAAGUAGAGGUUGCAGUGAGCCGAGAUCGCACCACUGCACUCCAGUCUGGGUGACAAAGCAAGACUCCAUCUCAAAAAAAAAAAAAAAAAAGUUAUACAAAAGAGGUUUCAAGCGAGUUCCCUACCUUCCUCAGAAUCAGAUUUUUCCCCAUAGGCUCCUCUAGAAAUUAUGGCAUGGCUACUGGAACAGUAAAAUAUAUCUAGAGCAAGAUUCUUCUCAACCCUUUUGUGCCUUAUCCCCGCUCUCUCCUUUGAUAUUUGGAUAUAUCAUUUGGUUCCCUAAUAAUAAUAAUAGCUGAAGUGGGUUGUGAAAUAUGACUUUUUUAUUAUUCAACCCAAUUUCUGUUCCAUGGCCACAUAUCUCUGGGCUGUUAGGAAAAAUCAUUUUACGAUAUAUUUUCAACUCAUACCACAUAGUAGCAGGAUCUUACACAGUGCCAAGGCUUCUGGAAUGGGGCAGGUAUCUUAGCUGGUCCUUAACUAGUUCACAAUGAUUCAGCCAAGAUUCAUAUACAUUGUAGGGGUCCCAUGGCCCCUUUAUGUCUAGGACCUUCUAUUAUUUCUGAGUUACCCUAUUGUUUCUGAGUUAUGUUCAUCUGCAUAAAUGCAUCUGCAUAGUCAUUCCCCUAAUUCCUACUUGCCAGGCACUCUUCUAAUUACUCCAUGUGCAUUGUCUCAUUUAAUCCUCAUAAUAACCCUAUAUGACAGUGUUGCUAUUAUUAUUUACAUUUUAUAAAUGAGGACAUUGAGGUUAGGUAAUAUGCCCGAAGCCCUUAUAUCUCAGUAGUGCUGAAGUUUUUGCUGUGGAUUGACUCUCUACUCUUAAAAGUGUGAGUGCUCAUUAAUAAUCCAUUGGCACACUCACUGUGCUUCUCAAAUCUUAGACAAACCUCUUGUCAUCACCUUGAAGAAUUCAUCUUUGCAAAGACCCAUUACACCAAGGCAUGCCAGUCAUCUUAGUUAAUCUUCAUAUUCAGUUCAUGAAGCAAAUAUUUCUAGAGACUGGCUAUAUGCCCAGCACAAGUUCUGAUGACAGAAUGGGCUAAGGAGCUACAGUAGCACAAGAGUCCCUUUCGUCGAAAUCUUAAAAGCAAAUUUUGUCCAAGUUAUCAAUUUUAUCUAAUGGAAUUUAACUAAAUUAGAAAGAAACCUAAGUCCUUCAGUCACUAACCCAUAGAUUUAAUACUUGGGACUCAGACAUAUGAACAUUGUUGUUCUUGAUGGCCUUAUUUUCUGGGUCAUCUCCCAGAAAUAGCAUAUUCUUAUGCUAAUUUGAGUGCUACUAAACCCAGAAGGGCCCACAUUCACCCACCCCUCACUCCCCCAUGGUUCAGUAGGCCUCAAGUCUCAAUUUUCCAAUUAUCUAAUAAAUUGAAGGCUUCCAUUGGGAGUAGGAUGAGGAUGGAAUCUUAAGGAAAUUGAAAGUGCCAUUUCAGAGUCAAUAUAGUUUUAGUAGGUUUUAGGGAUGAACCUGGUACCUAACCACUAAAUAUAAGGCUUUUAAAGGAAUCUAUGUCCAUGUCCCUAAAAAAACAAUUUAAAACCCAGUAUGGUUAUAUUCCUCAAUUAAGAACCAUGUUAUAUUCCUUAUAUUUAUUGGUACCUUAAUCAUUAAAAACUUGACCACUUUACAGUGAACUUCUAGUAUUUUCUCUACUUUUUACUCUUCUAGAAGACAGUAGAUAUUUCUGUCCUGAUACCAGCUCUUGACUUGAGCAAAACUGUGCUUCUAGCUACUCAAGGGCAGACAGAGCUCUCUGGAAGGGACCAUUGAAGAGUUUAUAACAAUGUUUUACAAAGUUCAAAUUACCCUUGCUUAUCUGGAAUCUUUUGAAAAUUAAUCCCUAAGUGGCUGAAUGUAAGAAAACUUACUGUGGGGCUAGUUUUACUGAAAUAUUUUGUCCUAGAUUUUUGUGACCAUGAGUGUCUCCUUCUCCCCUGGAGAAGGAUAUCUGUUCUAUGUCAUUCUCACUUCCUAGAGAGGAGAAAAUCAGAACUAUUUCCUCUACUCUGUCAGGUAGGUCUAGUCAAACAGUCCAUCAUUCUGAUAGCAGAAUAUCAGGACUUCAUAACAAGAAACAUAGAAUCCCUAACCCCAGAGCGUAAUCAGCUCAUCUCAUUGCUUCCCCUUUAGACUAAGAGCAAUUUUAGUAGAAUGAGUUCCCUGGACACAGCACCUGCAGGAUAUGUGAAGGUGCUUUAUAAAUUUUUUGUUUGUUUGUUUUUGAGACAGGGUCUUGCUUUGCAGUGAACACAGUUCACUGCAGCCUCGACCUCCUGGGCUUAAGCAAUACUCUCACCUCAGCCUCCUGAACAGCUGGCACCACCACACCUGGCUAAUUUUUGUAUUCUUUGUAGAGACAGGGUUUUGCCAUGUUGUCCAUGCUGGUCUCAAACUCCUGAGCUCAAGUGAUCUACCCACCUCAGCUUCCCAAAGUGCUGGGAUUACAGGCAUGAGCCACAGUGCCCGGCCUUGCUUUAUAAACUAAAGCAGCAUAUAACACUGCAGGUUGUUGAAAUUUUGUCUUUAUAUUUCCUUUGCUUUUUAGCCUAGAAAGUACUCUGACCAGCAAAAACAACCACAUUACACAUCUUAAAACCAUUGCUAGAUUUCAGUGGUGGUGGUAUGAUAGUAGCAAUAGCAAGAGAAACAAAAAGAAGAAUGUAAGGGUGGGGUAUGUGUAUGUCCAUGCCCAUGUACUGGCUUUUCUACAUGCUCCAAGAAGGUUUCUCAAAGGUAUCCAAUGUUCAAAUGGGAAGGAGCACAGAUCAGAUGGGGAAUCUGCCCAGGUGUCAGAGAAUUCAUGUUAAUCUUCUGGCCAAAAUAACUAUCCAUUCCAAGUUCAUGUUAUUAUUUUUUGAAAAAAUAACAACCAUUUUCAUUGCUAAUAUUCUUCAAAGACUUGCAGAGAUUUUACCCACUUCUGUAAAACUGUUUAAGAUUUCUUAAGUUAGCUCUUAAGAACUUAUCUUAAGAUAGCUCUGUCUUAAGAGCUGAGAUAAAUUCUAGUCUGGAAGUCAGAAUGACCCAGAACAGAUGCCCUUUCUCAAUUCCACAUUAAUGGAGACCUUAGGCUGGGUUCCACCUCCUUAAAAAAAGGCAGGGCUGUGUAUGGACCCAGUAAAGGGUGGAGAGACAAGGUUGGUAGUGACUCACUUCAGUUUUUGGAAGGAGGCGGAUUAAGCUUCCACCCCCACAAGCCUAAUGCUGGGAACUCCCACUUUGGAAGAUGAGGCAGAUCUUGACAUGAAAGCAGUCUGAAGUAGCGUCCCACCCUAGAAAAGAAGUUACAUUCAUCGUUAGAUUUGAGACUGCACAGCUAAAAUGUAAGAAACAGAAGUGUCCAGUAUAUUCAAAAGCCUUAAAAGUGCACAUUUUGUUCGCUGACCAAUGUCAAAUUUAUAACUCUAUCUUUAGGAAGUUAUUAAGCAUGUGUGCAAAGAUUAAACUACUAGGCAGAUCAUCUAAACUGUGUUUAUCAUAAAAAAAUAGAAAACCAACCUAAGUGUCCAACAAUACGAGUUUAAUUAAAUACAUCCAUAUAAUGUUAUAUUUUUCAUAUUUAAAAUAAUGUUAUAGAUACAUAUUUAUUAAUGUGGUAAGGUGUCUAAAAUAUAUUAAGGACAAACACAGGUGACCAACCAAUAUGUACUUGAUGAUUCCAUUUCAGUAAAAUAAAUACAUGUGUGAGUAUAUGCAUAUGGUUUUAAAAGCUCUUAAAGGGUUUCUGGUUCAAGGUGGUGGAUUGACUACAUGCAUUUAACUUCCCCUUGCUCUCUAAAUCUCACUAACAUGAUAUAAAAAUACACACACAUACAGUCACAAAGAACACAGUUUGUAUAAAAGUACGAAAAGAAAUUCCCCCGACUUUACCCCCCAUCCAAAUUCUAGGUCUUGCCUCCAUCUCUAGAAAUGGGAAGAAUGCUGAGGAGUAAGACAAAAGAAUGGGAAAAGGAGAUUUUGACUUUUUUUUUAAUACUUUCUGUACUGUUUGAUGCUUUCAUUAGUACUGUGUAUUUUUGUAACUUUUAAAGUUAUUGAAGGCUAAAUUUAAAAGUGGUAAUACAGUAGCAUCACAGCAUUUUGCAUUUAGCUUAACUAGCUUUCACCUAAAUUUGGGAAGGGUGGAGGGCAAACGAGAAAGAAUAAAGGAAAGAGAAAAGGGAGAGAAAGAGGAAGAAAGGGAGUGCAAGAGAGAACAUUUUAAAUGGUGUUGUGAUUUCUGCCUGACCUUUCUUCUUUCUCUCUCUCUCUCUCUAAGAGACAGUAUCUCUCUCUGUCACCCAGGCUGAAGUGCCGUGGCAUGAUCAUAACUCACUGCAGCCUCAAAUUCCUGGGUUCAAGCCAUCCUUCCCACUCAGCCUCCUGAGUAGGUGGGACUACAGGCACAUGCCACCACACCUGGCUAAUUUGUUUUUAUUUUUACAGACACGGGGUCUUGCUACGUUGCCCAGGCUGGUCUCAAACUCUUGUUCUCAAGCAGUCCUCCCACCUUGGCCUCCCAAGGCAAUAGUAUCUGAUCUUUUCAAUUAGCUUGGAUCUAACCCAAAAUAACUCUGAAAGAGCUGAUGUGAAUUUGAUCUAUUUCUGGUCCUGUGUGCUCUUCAUACGUUGAGUAUCUUGUCAUGCUAAGUGUGAUUCUAUUGUUAACAGGUCCUUUUAUUUUUAUUUGUUUAUAUACAUUUAAGUAGCAUGGCUUAUAAAUAUAACUACUUCAUUAGUUGCUCAACUAACAAAGCUUAUAUCAUGCACAUGUGUUGGGUUUUCUACAUGCUCCAAGGUGCUAUUCCAAACUUAAUGAUUUAAGGUAUUUUCAGGGGUAAUCCCAUUCCCCUCUUAAUUUAGUGGUUAACUCUCAGUAACAUGGAAAGCCAGUGCAGAAAUUAGUAAUCAGUGGUGGAAUUCAGGUGUUUUUAAUAUUCUUCCUCUCUCUCUUUAGUUCUGUUUUCAAUUUGGAUAAUAAGUAUUCCUUUUGUAGUAAGAAAACUAGGCUGGGCACGGUGGCUCAUGCCUGUAAUCCCAGCACUUUGGGAAGCUGAGGCAGGCAGAUCACGAGGUCAGGAAUUUGAGACUCAGCCUGGCCAACAUAGUGAAACCCAGUCUCUACUAAAAAUACAAAAAUUAGCCGGGCAUGGUGGCACAUGCCUGUAAUCCCAGCUACUCAGGAGGCUGAGGCAGGAGAAUUGCUUGAACCCAGGAGGCUGAGGUUGUAGUGAGCCGAGAUGGUGCCAUUGCACUCCAGCUCUGUGCGACACAGCAAGACACCAUCCAGGGAAAAAAUAAUAAUAAAAUAAAAUAACAUUAUAUCUGUAUCUAUCUACCUAUUUAUUUAUUCAGAGACAUGGUCUUAGUCAGCCUGGCUAGAGUGCAGUGGUGCGAUCACAGCUCACUGCAGACUGGAGCUCCUGGGCUCAAGCAAUCUUCCUACCUCAGCCUCCUGAGUAGCUGGGACUGCAGGUAUGCACCACCAUGCCUGGCUAAUUUUUUAUUUUUAUUUUUGUAGAGACAGGGUCUCACUAUGUUGCCAGGCUGGUCUUGAACUCCUGGCCUCAAGUGAUCCUCCCCCCUUGGCCUCCCAAAGUGUUGGGAUUACAGGUGUUAACCACUGCACUGGGCCAGAAAACUAUGUAUUUUUAAAAACUUUUUGAAAUGAUAGCUAUAGUUCUUAUUGCAACUUCACCUGGAUGAUGAGCAUCCAGGGACUCUCUUCUCUUUUCAUGACUCAACUCUAUUUUCAUAGGCAUCUCAUUUCCUUCUUCUACCACAAGUGGAGCACUUUUCAGUGAUAAGAAAUCAUAGCAUCACAAUUUUGCACCUGCUAUCCAUCCAGUUAGAAAACCCACUCAGUCCCAAUCUGUGUCAAAUAGUAUUUAUAACCAGCCCCUCAAAUGAUUUUCUCUUUUUCCUUGUGUAAAGUGCUUCCUGAAAUUAUAAGAAACUCAAAUUUAUAUUAAUCAGUAAGACUUUUUCUUCAGAAUUUGAAAUAUACAUAGAAAAGUGUUGUUUGUAGCAAAAAUGUUAAAUAGACUACUAUUUUAUGAUAUAAAUUAAAAGUCAGCCGAGAAACUUCAGAUAGUGUAGAUGAAGAACUCACAUACUGAUGAUGAAUCCAUGCUUCUGGCUGCAAAACUGAACAAGUGGGGUUGGGCCAUCCCCAAAGAACAGGUUUGAAAUCCUGGAAAGACAAUCAAGCCUUUAUCUCAGGCCUGUCGGGUAACCAAAUCCUUUGGAUCCUUUUGAAGUUAGGGAGUAAGGAGCAGUUGAGGGAUUUUUACUCUUUAGGGGACCAGGUCCUAUAGAAAUCUGCCCAACCUGGUAGCCUAACUAGGUUGCGGGGUUAAUGGUCCUGAUCAGUAGAAAGUGAGACUCCAAGACUGUGUGUUCUCUGUGGAAGAUAGACACUUGGAUAGAUACUUAAUUACAAGUUAGGGACCCAGUUUUUGUUUGUUUGGUUGGUUUUUUUGUUUGUUUGUUUUGAGACAGAGUUUCCUCUGUCAUCCAGGCUGGAGUGCAGUGGCGCCAUCUCAGCUCACUGCAACCUCCGCCUCCCGGGUUCAAGCAAUUCUCCUGCCUCAGCCUUCUGAGUAGCUGGGAUUACAGGCACCUGCCAACAUGCCCGGCUAGGGACCCACUUUUAAUACCUUAUGAUGUGAUGCAGAACAAUUUCUUUAAUCUCAUGGACUCUUAUUUUUAUAGAUUUGAAAUGGAAAUGAUGUUGUUUAUUCUGCAAAUUAAAUGAGAGGCUCCCUAUAGGUAUACAGUGCUGAGGUCCUAAUGGAUAAGAACAACCUUUAAAACAUUUAUUAAGAUAAAAAGGAUAAAAUACAUCCUGUCUAUAGUACAGUUGUUGGGUCUUUUUUAGUGUGAAAAGUGGUAGAUAAGCAGUUCCUGAGGAGCCCAGUGGGAAGCCUGGAAAGACCUUCGUGUUCUCCUUUAGUAUUUUGUAACUUGUUUACUUAUUAAACUAAUGCCUAGGCAACAAGAAUAGCAUUUUUCUUGCAUGGAAUCCAUCUCUAAGAAAACAUACACCUGGAAGCUGUCAACAACAAUAUGCCAACAAGCCAGGGUGAGCCCAUUGACAGAGUUGGCAUGGAUCAGCUUUAAUCCUUCCUCACGGCACUGAAGCAAAGGACUUAGAAGAGUACUUGUCAGGGGUUCUCACAGGAAUUCCACUCUGCCUGGCUAUCCAAAGAUCACAGCCACCUCCCCUGUCACCUGAUGUCAGGGCUCCUAAGGAUGCUUUACAGAAAGCUCUGCUGAACCAAACUCGAGAUCUCAAAUAGCACAAGUCCAGAUAUAAAUUCUGAAAAUCCUUCUUGAGAUGAAAAUCUCUCUCCCCAGAUCCACCAAGCUCCCUGAUGACAUGCCAACUUGGUCUCUUUGUUCAUUAUCUCCAAGAUCUCAGGCUGGCUGCUAAGCCACUGCAGCAGCCUCCUUACCUGAUGUCCCACUUAUACCCCCAAACUCAACACAACUUCUCUAGGAUAUUCUGUCCAUUGCACCAUUUUACCCCAAAUUCUUAGGUGUACUAAAGUUUUGUUCCAGCUUGGAUUGUGCACAGUAACUCCAAUACUAUCUUCACCACUAUUCCCAUGCCUCACCCCCACUAAACCUGCUGGGCUGGGCCUGUACUGAAUCUCCGCACCACCCUCACCCACUCCACCCUACCUCACCAUCUUUGUUGGAUCACUGCUCACUUGCAGAAAGUCAAGUGUAAACCCUGCUAGUCAUUUCCACUCUUUUUGGCCUUUAAUCACUCAUGAUAGCCCUUUAAUGUGUCCCUUAGACUCUAUGAUAUUUGAUAGUAAAAGAGGUAUUGAAAGCAUAUUUUCUGGUCCUCCUGCUUUCAGAUUCUUCCUUCUGUCCCUACUUCUGAGAUGGAGACUGAGUAGGGAGUCACCAAACUGAUCUGGAGAAGAUGAACUAGAUAUGCUCAGAUUAUGGACCCUGGCCUCAGUGGGGAGAAACUGGAAUUCUAACCCACCAGUCCAACUGUCAUAUCCAAUUUUAAACUCUGGCUGCGAACCAUGGCUCACACCUGUAAUCCCAGCAUUUUGGAAGGCCAGGCAGAAGGAUUGCUUGAGUUCAGGAGUUCAAGACCAGCCUAGGCAACAUAGUGAGACACUGUCUCUACAAAAAUAAAAAUAAAAAACAUGUCUGGCAGCAGACUUCUCAGUGGAAAGCUUACAGGCCAGGCGAGAGUGGCAUGACAUAUUUAAAGUGCUGAAGAAAAAAAAAAACUUUUAUCCUAGAAUAAUAUAUCCAGGGAAAAUAUCCUUCAAAGAUGAAGGAGAAAUAAAGAUUCCCAACCAAACAAAAGUUGAGGGAUUUCAUCAACACCAGACUUCUCCUACAAGAAAUGCUAAAGGGAGUUCUUCACUUUGAAAGAAAAUGAUGUUAAGGAGCAAUAAGAAAUUAUCUGAAGGGGCUGGGUGCAGUGGCUCACGCCUGUAAUCCCAGCACUUUGGGAGGCCGAGGCAGGCAGAUGACCUGAGGUCAGAAGUUCAAGACCAGCCUGGCCAACAUGACAAAACCCUGUCUCUACUAAAAAUACAAAAAAAAAAAAAAAAAUUAGCCAGGCGUGGCAGUGCAUGCCUGUAAUCCCAGCUACUCGGGAGGCUGAGGCAGGAGAAUCACUUGUACCUGGGAGGCGGAAGUUGUAGUGAGCCAACAUUGCGCCACUGCCCUCCAGCCCAGGCAACAGAGUUAGACUCCGUCUCAAAAAAAAGAAAUUAUCUGAAGGUAUAAAACUCACUGGUAAUAUUAACUACACAGACAAGCACAGAAUAUCAUGACACUAUAAUAGUGUUAUGUAAACUACUCAUAUCUUGAGCAGAAAUUCUAAAAGCUGAAUCUAUCAAAAAUAGUAACUACAACUUUUCAAGACAUAGAUAGUAGAAUAAGACAUAAAUAGAAACCAUAAAAUGUUAAAAAGUGGGGGCAAUGUGGUGUGGAGUUUUUAUUAACUUUCUCUCCUUUGUUUUUUGCGAUUAGUGUUAAGUUGUCAUCAGUUUUAAAUAAUGGGUUAUCAAGGAGGAUCGCUUGAGCCCAGGAAUUUGAGACCAGCCUGGGCAACACAGUAAGACUCUCUCUCUAUAAAGAAAAAAAACUUAAAAAAAAAAAAAGAAAAGAAAACAAGACCCAACAAUCUGUUGCCUACAAGAAACACUCUUCACCUAUAAAUACACACAUAGGCCUAAAAUAAAGGGAUGGAAAAAGAUAUUCCACACAAAUGAAAACCAAAAAAGAGUAGGAGUUGCUAUAUUUCUAUCAGAUAAAAUAGAUUUCAAGAGAAAAAUAUAAAAAGAGACAAGAUUAUUAUAUAAUGAUAAAGAGGUCAACUCAGCAAGAGGGUAUAACAAUUGUAUAUGCACUCAACACUGGAGUACCCAGAUAAAAAAAGCAAAUGUUAUUAGAGCUCAGGAGAGAGAUAGACCCCAAUACAAUAAUAACUGGGGACUCCAACACCACACUUUCAGCAUUGGACAGAUCAUCCAGACAGAAAAUCAACAAACAUCCAACUUAAUCUGCACUAUAGACCAAAUAGACCUAAUAGAUAUUUACAGAACAUUUCGUCCAACAGCUAUAGAAUACACAUUCUUCUCCUCAGCACAUGGAUCAUUCUUGAGGAUAGACCAUAUGUUAGGCCACAAAACAAGUCUUCAAAAAAUUUUUUUUUUAAAUUAAAAUCAGGCCAGGCAUGGUAGCUCACGCCUGUAAUCCUAGUACCUUAGGAGGCUGAGGCGAGUGGAUCACCUGUGACCUAUUCAUAUAACGGACACUACAUAACAAGGAGAAUGAAGGAACUAAAACUUUGUGCAAUCACAUGUAUGAAUCUCACAAACAUAAUGGUGAGCAAAGUAAGCCAGGCACAAAUGAGAACACAUUAUAUGAUUCCAUUUAUAUAAAAUUGAAAAUCAGACAAAAUAAAUCAGUGAUGUUGGAAGUCAGGAUGGUGUUUACCUGUUGGGAUGGUGGAGAUAGUAGUGACCAAGAGGAAGGCACAAGAGCUACUUUUGGGUGGUAAUAUUGUUCUUUUCCUUGAUCAUACUCACAUAGGUUACAUAGGUGUUGAUUUUGUGAAAAUUCAUUGAACUGUAAACUUACCUACUUUUCUGCAUGCAUGUUAUCCUUAAAAAGUUUACUAAAUUACCUGUACAUCCUUAUGAUAGGAAAUCUAGAAAAUAGAAACUAUAUAGUGUUAAAAAACAGUUUUCAAAAUAAGGAAACAUUAUGACUGUCAUAUAUAAAUAUAAAAUGAGCACAUCAAAGAUUUUAUUUAACUCAUUAAUUAAUGAGAAAACCAGUAAGGUGUUAUAGCUGGUUCAAAUGGAUUUGAUUUACAGAGAUCUAUAUUACCUGCCAGACAAAAUUUAUUUGCAUUGACAUGAACAGGGAUCAUUUCCAGUUAUAACAGGAAACAUUUGCAUUAAUGUCAAUUUUCUACAUCUUCACCUCUUUCUCUACAGAGUUAUAAAUAGUCUAAUCAAAGACUAGUCAAAGACAAUGAAAGUAGAAAUGAAUGGAUGCACUAAUUAGGAUACCCACUACAUUUCAAAGGUUUUAACAUUUUUACUUACAAUAGAGUAAAAUCAAAACAACCUGUAAUCCUUCUAUUCAGGAGUAAUCUAUAUAUACACAAUUUUGUGCCAUAUUUUUAAAUAUUACAUAAGAAUUGUCUUAUAUCUAGAGCAAAAUUACUUAAGUAAAAUUUUUAGAAAACAACUUUUCAUAUUGAGUACAAAGGUUUUUUUCCCCUUUGUUCUAAAAAUCCUCUGUUCACAUUUCUGGUUAUUUCCUUAACAUAUUUUCUUAGAAGGAAAAGUAUUGGAUCAAAAGAUAUGACCAUUUUUAAGACUCUUGAUACAUAUUGCCAAGUUGUUGUUGUGGUGGUUGUUGUUGUUGUUUUGUUUUUGAGACAGAGUCUCGCUCUGUCGCCCAGGCUGGAGUGCAGUGGCACAAUCUCAGCUCACUGUAACCUUUGCCUCCGGUUUCAAGUGAUUCUCCUGCCUCAACCUCCUGAGUAGCGGGACUACAGGUGUGUACCACCACGCCUGGCUAAUUUUUGUAUUUUAGUAGAGAUGGGGUUUCACCAUGUUGGCCAUGGUCUAGAACUCCUGACCUCAAGUGAUCCACCUGCCCAGCCUUCCAAAGUGCUGGGAUUACAAGUGUGAGGCACUAUGCCCAGCCUUAUAUUGCCAAGUAUUAUAGGAAUACUUUGCAGCACAUAAUUAGGUUGGAGGGUGAGAGGAAGCAAAAAUCUUUCUAAGCUACUUUCAUACUCCCAGAAUUACUCCUGUCCGUAAGAUUUCCAGGAGUAAAACAUGUUUAUAGUUUUGCAACUACCCACCAUCUGCCUUUUUCUCUUCCUUUGCUUUUGGACUUUGAGCAAAAACCCAGUACUUGCCUAAGGAAAAAGUGUGGGUUGGCACAGCAAACCACAAAAAUCUCAAGUUCUAACCAAAUUUAAGGCUGCAAGAUGCCUCCCUGCACUGAUGGCUUCAUCUGUAUUAGGUUAUAAAUCCCUUGAGGAAUUUUCUAGGACCCAAUUCUAGCCCUACUUCCCGUGUUUACACAUAUUUUCUGAUCUGUUUUGCCAGUAUUGAUUUAAAAUAUUUUGACAGCCGGGCGUGGUGGCUCACGACUGUAAUCCCAGCACUUUGGGAGGCUGAGUCAGGUGGAUCACGAAGUCAGGAGAUCAAGACCAUCCUGGCUAACACGGUGAAACCCUCUCUCUGCUAAAAAUACAAAAAAUUAGCUGGGCAUGGUGGCACACGCCUGUAGUCCCAGCUACUAGGGAGGCUGAGGCAGGAGAAUCGCUCGAACCCAGGAGGCAGAGGUUGCAGUGAGCCAAGAUAGCGCCACUGCACUCCAGCCUGGGCGACAGAAUGAGACUGUCUCAAAAAAUAAAAUAAAAUAAAAUAAAAUAAAAUAAAAUAUUCUAUAAGCCACAUAUAUCUAACCAUGAGACCCAACUUAAUUCAACUAUUCUAUCAAUUGCCUACUGAGUGCCAGGAACUGUGGUGUACUAGGCCUAGAGUAAGUCGUGAGCAAAACAGACUUUUUCCUGCUAUAGGAGCAGAAAGGUGUAGUACCUUUCUUCAUCCAUCAUAAGCGUUACAGUUGACACUCCUAUAACAAAAGACAGAUUAACAAGAGAAAAGCAUAACAAAUUUAUUUAACCAAAGUUUUACAUGAAAUGGGAGCCUUUAGAAAUGAAUAGCCCCCCUCCCCCAAAAAAAAGAAAUGAAUACCCAAAGAUGCAAGGAAAACUGUGUUUUUAUGCUGAGGCUCGAUGAAGAAUGGACAGCCAUGUAGAAAUGUGACUGGACAAGAGAGUAUGAUCUUACUGUAAUAGACUGAGGAGGAAACCCAGCAAGGCCUGCCUUUCUGUUUAGGUUCUUCUGGGUCUCUUUAUGUAGCAUUCCUUCCUCCUGAGUAUGGGUAGGACCCCUCUGGAAUGAGAGUCUCCAGGAUAAAAGGGAAAGAAUGACCCAGAGGUUUUAUGGCUUGCUUUGCAGAAGAGUGGUCCUAGUGUCUAGGACCUGUCUUGGCAUAGAGGAAUUCUGAUUUCUAUCCUUGUUUUAGAGAAGAAAAAGAGACAAGAGACAGGAGAGCAGAAGAGGGUCAGAGAACACUUUAUUCCGAGGUCCUUCCAGAGUCCUUCAGUUUAAAGUACUCAGCCAAGGGCCGAUCAUGGUAUCUCACACCUGUAAUCUCACUACUUUGAGAGGCUGAGGCGGGAAGAUCACUUGAGGUCAGGAGUUUGAAAUCAGCCUGACCAAUAUGGUGAAACCCUGUCUACUAAAACACAAAAAUUAGCCAGGCAUGGAGGCGGGUACCUGUGAUCUCAGCUACUUGGGAGGCUGAGGCAGGAGAAUCGCUUGAACUCAGGAGGCAGAGGUUGGAGUGUCUAUGCAUAGGGCGCGAUCAUAGUGCACUGCAGCCUUCAACUCCUGGCCUCAAUGGAUCCUCCCGGCCUCAUCCUCCCAAGGCUAUUUAUUAUUUUGUUAUAUUGGUAGGUAGGUCUCUUACCAACUGGAUAAAAUGCUCCUUGAAGGCAGGGGCCAUGUCUUUACUUCUCUGGUAUACUCCAAAGUGCUGAGCAUUUAAUAGGCAUCCAGUGGAGAGCAACCCAGUUGAAAACAUUAGUGCCUCAUGUCUGCAUGAACCAAGCUUGCCUUCCAGCUCCUCACAGAAUCUCUGUGGGAAUAAGUAACAUGAUUGGAAAACAUGAAAUAACUUACUAUGUAAGUGAUCAUUUUACACUUUAUGUCAUCACCAAUAGGUGGCACCAUCAAUUUUAAAAUUAUAUAGCCCAAAAUUGUACAUAUUGAUGGUGUUUGUUCAAUAGAUGUUUACUGGACUCCAUGUAUGUAGAAACUUCUCAGCUCGCCACUACCACCAGAGUAAAAAUAAAAGUAUUACAGACACGCUUUAUCAUACUUUCUUUUCUAGUAAUACCCUAAAAAACAUGUAUUUCCACUUUCAGAUUUCAUCCCCGUUUUAAAAAAACAACAUCUAAAUCUUGGAUAACACAAAAACAACGGUUUUACAAUUUUGUCCUUUUGUGUUUGUGUGUAUGUGUGUGCAUUCCAACCCAGCUUAAUAUCUUAUUGUAAAAGGGAAAAAGGGAUGCAAAAAUAAAUAAAAAGCAAAUUUAAAAACCUGGGUUUUAGUGGGGGAAGGGGACCUAUCAGCAGAAUUUAACCCGAGUUGGCUUUCAGUUAACACAAUUUACCACUCCUCUCUUUCUUUCCUUUUGGAAGAUAACAAAAGUUUGAUUCAGGCACAGAAGAAUUAUUUCAACAGCUUCCAAGUCCGCAUAAUCCCAUCUGGAGAUAAUAAAAGGCCCCAUUCCUCUGUGUUUAUUUCAAGAGGUUCGUUCUUUGGAAUGACCUGAGGUUGCAAACUGUAGAACAGUUGCCAGCUGAAGAGAACUGCAGCUUGAAUGCUACUCAGGAAGUCUCUAUGGACCUGGGAUAACUCCUCUGAGAUUUCCUUAGUGUAGAAAGAGGCCCCUGUGCCCUUCCUUCUCUACAAGAUGAGGGCAAAAAAGGGACAAAAGAGAAAAAGAGGGGAAAGGGAGCAGUGAGGAAAUUAAACUGCAGUAUUUGCAUCAAACACCAUAUAAUAGUCACUAAUUCACUAAUUUAUCCACCUACUGCUGAGAGAAUAGGAAACUCUGCCCAAGUCUGCCUUUUUUUUUUUUUUUUUUUUUUUUUUGAGACGGAGUCUUGCUGUAUCGCCCAGGCUGGAGUGAAGUGGCGCAAUCUCGGCUCACUGCAAGCUCCGCCUCCUGGGUUCACGCCAUUCUCCUGCCUCGGCCUCCCGAGUAGCUGGGACUGCAGGCGCCCGCCACCAUGCCUGGCUAAUUUUUUGUAUUUUUAGUAGAGACGGGGUUUCACCAUGUUAGCCAGGAUAGUCUCGAUCUCCUGACCUCAUGAUCCGCCCGCCUUGGCCUCCCAAAGUGCUAGGAUUACAGACGUGAGCCACCGCGCCUGGCCGUCUGUGCCUCUUUUUACUGAAUGUCUUUAAAGUGCGAUGAAUGGCAUUAGGGAGUUGGGAAGAUGCACAGAGGGAACAUAGAAGGGUUUUUGUCAUUCAGGAGCUUCCAAUCUAGUAAACCAUAAGAGUGUCUUGUAUAGUGGUGGUUAGAAAGGCAGGCUGCUUUAUUCAUUUGUACCACAACUCCACCACCUAUGCACAUUUGUGCUAAUUUCAAGCAAAGGGGAAUAUGGAUCCACCUUUACACUACUCUGCAAAAAAGAAAAAUUACCUAUCCUCCUCUGAUGUUUUUAGAAAUUCGAAAUAAAUUUUAAAUGAAGUAAAGCAAUGAGGCAAAGUUUUUAUUUCAAACCAUGAGCCCUUCUCUCCCCACUAGUUGAGAAUCUCUAUGAUACUUAUUCAAUGUGAUGAAAGAUUGCUCAGGCUCAGAAAGGGGCAAGUUAUGAUUGGAGACAAUGACUUUGCAACAUAAUCAAUUCAUCUAGUUUUGCUAUUACCUUGACAGCCUAGGUCCAGGAGCAGGGAAAUUAGAUGGUGUCCUAUUCAGAGUUGGGAAUGGCAAGACUGGCUCAUGGGCCAGGGAUGAUGAAACCAGCAUGCUGGUCAAAGCCUUUGCUAAAUAUCUCCCCAUGGAGCCCAGGCUCAGAAAUGGCUGUCCAGCCUUUUGCAGCCCUUCCUAGGCUGCCAUAAAAAUGUACCACCAGGCAGCUUCAAACAACAGAAAUGUAUACUCUCACAGUUCUGGAAGCUAGAAGUCCAAGACUAAGGGAUUGGCGGGAUUGGUUUUUUCUGAGGUCUCCAAAGGAGAAUCUGUUUCAUGCCUCUUUGCCAGCUUCUGAUGGUGGCUGGCAAUUGCUGGUAUUCCUUGUCUUGUAGAUGCAUCACUCACAUCUCUGUCUCCAUCUUCACAUGAUGUUCUCACUAUAUUUCUGCAUCUUCACAUGGCCCUCUUCACGUGGACAUUAGUCUUGUUGGAUUAAGGGCCCACUCUACUUCUCUAGUAUGACCUCAUCUUAAUUAGUUACAUCUACAAUGACACUAUUUCCCCCAAUAAGCUCACAUUCUGACGUACUGAGGGCUAGGACUUCAACAUAUUUCACCGAGGGCACAAAAUUCAGCCUGCAACAGGCCUGAUGGCAGGGAAGAGAGCUGAGUGUUGUAGGGGGAGAAGGAGGGACUAAGGGCUGGUCAGAGUGGCAGGGAGUACAGGGUGGAAUUCUCAACACUCAGGAAUGGUGGAGGUGGCUUUGGUCUCAAAUUGAUCCAAGUUUAGGAUAACUAUAUUGGUUCAUGCAGAUUUAAUUGUGCCUCCAGUUUUAGAACUUUUUUUUUUUUUUUUUUUUUUUUUGAGAUAGGGUCUCCCUUUGUUGUCCUGGCUAGAGUGCAGUGGCGUGAUCAUAGCUCACUGUAGUGCUAACAUCCUGGGCUCAGUCUCCUGAUUAGCUGGGACUACAGGCACACUGCACUAUGCCCAGAUUUUUUUUGAUUUGUGUAGAGAUAGGGUCUCACUAGGUUUUCCAGGCUGGUCUCAAACUCCUGGGUUCAAGCAAUUCUCCAGCCUGGACCUCCCAAAGUGCUGGGAUUAUAGGUAUGAGCCACUGCACUCAGCCUAGAACACCACUUUUUAACCAUCAGGACUUUACUUGGAUAUGUGAGUUAAAUGCUUUACUAAAGUCCCAGUGUAGAUGGAUUCAGUCCUCUCCAGAGGCUUGGGGUGCUAAUCUGGUUGGAAGUGAGAAGCUUGGGGACUUGUCUUAAGCUGUGCUUUAUGGCAAGCUCAUCAUGUUUACAUGGUUUGUUAUUACUUAGGGCAAUCUGGGAUUAGGGGAGCUAAUGAAGAUUAGGGAAGCCAGACCCCCAAUCAACCCUUGGACUUGCGUUGGUCUCUAGCUUAUCCUUUUAUCUUGCUGACCUUUCAAGAUCUGUUGUAACUAUAUUAACUCAAAUCUGUUUGUUGGAAAUUGAACCAAGACUAUACGAUCUCCAUGUUCUCAGACUCACUUACUGGCUUAUGCUCAACAACAGAGAGAGGGCAGUGUGCAGCGUAUGAGUUAACUUUUGUAGUAGAAUAGUUCAAGCAUUUUAGAGCAGGCUAUAGCCACAGACUUGCAUAGUGUGGCAACACAGGUUGUACAACUUACGCAAACAAAAAGAUGCACAUUUAAUUGAGUACGGUGAAUGGUCACUUCUGGGGAGGGGGAGGAGAAUAAGAGGAGAAACAUAAAAUGGAUGGAUGGAUAGAUAGGUAUAUAGGUAGAUAGAUAGAUAGAUAGAUAAUCAAUAGAUAGGGAUAAAUAGAACAAGAGAGAGGCCGCGAAGAGACUGAUGAAGAGAGGGUACUAUAGAAUGAGGAGUAUUAUUAAUUCAACCUCCUGCAUCUUUAGUCUAAAAGAACAAGAAUAGCCAGAAUGUCUGGAUUAAAAGUGCGAAUCCUCUACCCACUAGGUUUUUGUAAGUUAGCUAAUCUCUCUUUCCCUCAGCUCAUUUAAAACAGAGGUAAUAUUAGUACCUACCUCAUGGAAUUGUUGUGAAAACGAAAUGAGUCGGAAUGUGUAAAGUGCUUAGAAGAGCACCUGACACUCAACCAGUAACUACCAGUAAUAAACAUUCAACCAUAUGGUCAGGAGAAUUAAGUAAAAUAAUCCACAUAAAAUGCUUAGGCACUUAACAGUGCCUGGCUCAUUGUGUUCAAUAGACGUUAGUUAGGCAGCUGUUGUCAUAGUCAACAUCAUUGUCAUUAUCAUCAUUUCUUUAAAUGGCCAACUCCAUUCCUUUAGUCACUUACAGAGAGGUAGCUGGACACAGUGUUGUACAGUGGAAAGAGAAUGCUUUCUCCUAUACUAAUGCCACCUCCAUCUUUUCCUUUUGUGUGAUCUUAGGCAAGUCAAUUCUUCCAGCAUUGGUUUCUGCAAGUAAGCCUCCUACACCCAUUGUUAGCAUUAAAUCUCACUCUGGGCACAUCACUCAUUUGGAGGCUCUAGUGUUGAAACCCCACACUUAACUCUGUAUUAGCUAUUAUGCCAGGCAAGCAAAGACAAGGGCCUGACCCUCGGGGAAGUCAUGUUGGCCCUAGUGAAAUGGCCAGACCAUUAGGCAUACCAUGCCCUGUACCUACGCAAGCCUCAUCAGUGCAGCCUAAACGCAUAGCCCCAGUGUGGAGUCAUUUGGAACCAUUAGUGUUACAUGGAAGCAGGGACCCAAACCAAGAUGGGUCAAUCUGGGUCAUUCCCCAUUGUCUGAGGGAUUCUACUUGUCUUGUUUUGACUUUUGAUUUUCUGUUUUGUGUCAGAGUUACCCAGAAAUUGCUUUGUGUCGGGUGUUAUACUGUUUCACAUGUAUUCUCUCAUUUAAACCUCAUAAUAACCCUGUGAGGAAACAGCUGCUAUUCUCCCCCAUUUUAUGGAUGAAGAAACUGAGGUACAGCAUUUUAGAGUAAUUUACCCCAGGUUACACAACUAGUAAGUGGCUAAGCCAGUAGCCAAACCACAGCAGUCUGGCAGCAGAACCCUUGCUAUUAUAUAAUACUACCUCUUGGAAAUUUCCAGGGAGUUUGGCAGUUUGGGCCAAAAUGAGAAUUGGACAUAAUCUGUGAUCCAACAGUUUCACUUUAAUGAAUUUAUGUAA
Molecule: long non-coding RNA, 32003 nt
Filed under: Homo sapiens (human)
Lineage: Eukaryota; Metazoa; Chordata; Mammalia; Primates; Hominidae
Description: non-protein coding lnc-TTC30B-1:17
Source: RNAcentral